This 174-nucleotide non-coding RNA is filed under the name Macrococcoides caseolyticum. Its description in RNAcentral is "Macrococcus caseolyticus Lysine sequence". It matches the Rfam family "Lysine riboswitch aptamer". From Rfam's summary of the family: Riboswitches are metabolite binding domains within certain messenger RNAs that serve as precision sensors for their corresponding targets. Allosteric rearrangement of mRNA structure is mediated by ligand binding, and this results in modulation of gene expression. This family includes riboswitches that sense lysine in a number of genes involved in lysine metabolism, including lysC. The record is from RNAcentral. RNAcentral also lists the same sequence under 1 other name. Lineage: Bacteria; Bacillati; Bacillota; Bacilli; Caryophanales; Staphylococcaceae.
AGAAACAGAUGAGGCGCAUCAAUCAUGAGUACAUAACUACCCUACUGCAAUAAGUUAUGGAAAGGGUGCGAUGCCGAAACACUAUAUUAUGUUGCAGCAUACAUAGUGUUGGAUUCACAGGUUAAGAGCUAAGAAUCUGUCAUUAUAUUACUAUAAUGGAGUGCAUCGCUUGUA